GAAUUCGAUUGAGGCAAGCGUUAUCCGGAAUUAUUGGGCGUAAAGCGUCCGCAGGUGGCUUUCCAAGUCUGCCGUCAAAGCCCGAGGCUUAACCUCGGAUCGGCGGUGGAAACUGGAUCGCUAGAGUGCGUCAGGGGUAGGGGGAAUUCCCGGUGUAGCGGUGAAAUGCGUAGAUAUCGGGAAGAACACCAGUGACGAAAGUGCCCUACUGGGACGUUACUGACACUCAUGGACGAAAGCUAGGGGAGCGAAAGGGAUUAGAUACCCCUGUAGUCCUAGCCGUAAACGAUGGACACUAGGUGUUGCUGGUAUCCACUCCAGCAGUGCCGUAGCC
Molecule: ribosomal RNA, 334 nt
Filed under: uncultured bacterium
Lineage: Bacteria
Description: bacterial SSU rRNA
Rfam family: Bacterial small subunit ribosomal RNA
Source: RNAcentral